GUUACACCACUGGUUCAAAUCCUCUGAUCACAUUUCCGCCACCUAUAGCCUGCAGAUAAUUUUUCUCCCCGAGAAAGGGCACGAUGCUGCAGGUCAUUGGUCUAGACUGUUUGCACGGUCCAGAGAACAGCCUUGAUGUAACCCUUGCUCCGUCUGUGCCACACCACCAGCCGUGCGACUGCAGACUGUAGGGGGACAUCGGAGAUCUGUAUUUGAAAAGAAGUCCGUCCGAUUUUGCCAUUGUGCCUUUUCAGUCAUCGAUCGAAUGAAUAUCGAACCUUCUGUCGUUGCAUGUGUGAAAUAGAUAGCUUAGCAAGCACUUUUGUGCCCAAACCUGUGCAUUGGGCCAAACUGUUUUCCUUUAUUCACAAGUUGUUGGGUUUUGUAAUAUAGCAGUUUCUUAGGUACUUUAAUGAACUGUGUCAUAAUGUUAGACCAGCCUCUCAACAGACAGUUUCUUUGCUGUAAUCUGCUUGUUUUCACACUUUUUUUUUUAUUUUUAUUUUUAAAAGGUGCUUUCGCUUUCAGUCGUUCCCACUUGAACAUUAGUCCUCCCGAAAGUGUGAGGGAGGCUGGAUUUGGAUCAGUAUGCACACCCCAGCAUCGGGGAGCUCAUUUCAAAAUGAAACACCGACUGGAGGUUUGCUACUGUAGGGCUUAAAAAAAUAACAUGAGGGAAAAAAAGUGAAUUUAGAAAGCCUCCAAGGUAAAUUCAAAAAUAAAAAAUCCAGCAAAUAUGGGGCAAUCUUGUAAAAAUACAAAUAAAGCAGAAAUUGGUAAGGAAAGACAGGUAUUAGAAAAGCUAAAACAACCUCACAGAGGUGGCUAAAAACCUAAGAGGAUCCCAUCUCCUUUCUUCCCUCAACACACUGAGACAGUAAUUUUGGAAAAUUAACAUCUGAUAAUAUGGGAACUCUAAAAUACUUCUUACUCCUCCGUACCAUGGUACAAGUAUUUUCAUUCUUCAGUGGCCAGCUAUACGUGUAUUAAGAUGUAUUUAAUUAAAAAUAUGCUCGAACCAUACCAAAAAUUAUGAAAAUUAUGCUAAACCAAUAAGAAAAUGUAGCUUAAAUGUUCAGCCAGAGAGCUCAACAAAACUCUAAGAAUUUCGGGGGGGGGGGGGAGGGGGAAGAAAAAAAUGCUCUAAUACCUUAGAAUAAAAGACAGAAAUGUAGUUAGCGUGUAAAAUGAUAUACUCCUGAAAUCAAGUGGAAAGCAAGUUUUUACUCUUCUUUUAAUAGAAUGGCAAACUCUCUGACCACUGACUGUCAAAAAACAAUAACCUAGUGACAGCCAUCAGCACCUACUCAUUGUAAAAUAUGCCUGCCUCUACUCUGGUCUAAUAAAAUUCGAAUCGCAUCAAAAAGGGCUUAUAUAUUCUUCAGGGUGUUGCUUACCCAGCGUUGUCUGUAUAUGACAUCAGUAUAUAUAUUUUUGAGAUACCACUGUCUCAUACUUCAAGGCAUACCUAUUUUCUCUAAUUGCCACAGGCAAAGGGGAGGUGCACUAAAGAAUAAAGAAGGUUAUUGUGACAGAUGAAACAUAAUUCACGAGUACUCUUUUCAUCCAGCCUUAAGUAGCAGAGGAUUACUCCGAGCUGAAUUUUGGGGGAGUAUGUAUGAUCUGAUUUAAUAAUAUCAGGACAGGCCACAAGCUGAAAGGCAAUGUAAACCAAUUACGCUUUUGCUGAAUGUUUAGGGGGUUCUGUUACUGGCUUCCCCCCCCCCCCCCCUUUUCUGGAAGUAGAAGAAAUGUUAACGUGAAGAGGGUCUGAAGAAACGUGGGGAAAAGUAAGAGAUGCCGAGAAAUAAAAGUUGGGAUUUUCUGGAAUGGAUCAUAAUAAACGAUUAUUCUCUAUUUCCGCUUCAUGACACUUAAAUGAAAUAAGAUCAUGCCAUUUCUACAGUAAAUAUGCGCUGCGAAAGUAGGUAAAUUAAUUUUGAUACACUUAUUGAACUUGUAUUGCUUCAGAGAGAUUCUUCUAAAAAUGCUGUAUGUUAUCAAGUUUAGAUGUAGAUAAGUGUGCCAGUAAAAUAACUUUCUGCUGAACGUGUGUGCACUGCUUUUUUGAGUCACUGUUUUAAUAUUUAAACAGUAAAUAGGUAAGCUUGCAUGUGUAUUUUACACGUUUGUUUCCUUAAGAUGUGCUUUUGAAAAGACCUGCUUAGUAUAAUUUGCUGUAUUACAUUUUGAAAGGAUUUCUUUUUACUGUUUCAAUUUUUAUAUACAAAUAUUUUUAUAUAAUCUAAAACUGCAUUCAGAAUAUCUGGUCAUGUGUAGACAGAUGAGCUGCAGAAAGUGUUAAGUCACCUGGCAAAAGGAGUAAACAGUAGCUCACUUUGUUUACGGCUAAUGUGUUAGUUUAGAUUACUGACUUUUUUUUUUAGCAAUAAGUAACUUCUUUAAAAAAAUCCAUUUUAAUACAAGUCUUAAUAAACUAAACAUUGAUCUUCUCAAAGAAUAUUAUUAAGAAUUCUGUAAGAUUUAGUAUGCAAAAUAAAUCCAUCUUUAAAUACA
This is a long non-coding RNA of Dromaius novaehollandiae (emu), 2517 nucleotides long. RefSeq lists it as uncharacterized. The record is from RefSeq and is a predicted model, not a curated record. NCBI's taxonomy places the organism in Eukaryota, Metazoa, Chordata, Aves, Casuariiformes, Dromaiidae. The transcript is spliced from 2 exons.